GCUGGCGGCGUGCCUAAUACAUGCAAGUCGAGCGAACGGACGAGAAGCUUGCUUCUCUGAUGUUAGCGGCGGACGGGUGAGUAACACGUGGAUAACCUACCUAUAAGACUGGGAUAACUUCGGGAAACCGGAGCUAAUACCGGAUAAUAUUUUGAACCGCAUGGUUCAAAAGUGAAAGACGGUCUUGCUGUCACUUAUAGAUGGAUCCGCGCUGCAUUAGCUAGUUGGUAAGGUAACGGCUUACCAAGGCAACGAUGCAUAGCCGACCUGAGAGGGUGAUCGGCCACACUGGAACUGAGACACGGUCCAGACUCCUACGGGAGGCAGCAGUAGGGAAUCUUCCGCAAUGGGCGAAAGCCUGACGGAGCAACGCCGCGUGAGUGAUGAAGGUCUUCGGAUCGUAAAACUCUGUUAUUAGGGAAGAACAUAUGUGUAAGUAACUGUGCACAUCUUGACGGUACCUAAUCAGAAAGCCACGGCUAACUACGUGCCAGCAGCCGCGGUAAUACGUAGGUGGCAAGCGUUAUCCGGAAUUAUUGGGCGUAAAGCGCGCGUAGGCGGUUUUUUAAGUCUGAUGUGAAAGCCCACGGCUCAACCGUGGAGGGUCAUUGGAAACUGGAAAACUUGAGUGCAGAAGAGGAAAGUGGAAUUCCAUGUGUAGCGGUGAAAUGCGCAGAGAUAUGGAGGAACACCAGUGGCGAAAGCGACUUUCUGGUCUGUAACUGACGCUGAUGUGCGAAAGCGUGGGGAUCAAACAGGAUUAGAUACCCUGGUAGUCCACGCCGUAAACGAUGAGUGCUAAGUGUUAGGGGUUUCCGCCCCUUAGUGCUGCAGCUAACGCAUUAAGCACUCCGCCUGGGGAGUACGACCGCAAGGUUGAAACUCAAUGAA
Molecule: ribosomal RNA, 891 nt
Filed under: uncultured Staphylococcus sp.
Lineage: Bacteria; Bacillati; Bacillota; Bacilli; Caryophanales; Staphylococcaceae
Description: bacterial SSU rRNA
Rfam family: Bacterial small subunit ribosomal RNA
Source: RNAcentral